RNAcentral lists this ribosomal RNA (676 nucleotides) under Staphylococcus aureus. Its description in RNAcentral is "bacterial SSU rRNA". It matches the Rfam family "Bacterial small subunit ribosomal RNA", at positions 196 to 859 of the family's 1533-position model. The record is from RNAcentral. Lineage: Bacteria; Bacillati; Bacillota; Bacilli; Caryophanales; Staphylococcaceae.
AAAAGUGAAAGACGGUCUUGCUGUCACUUAUAGAUGGAUCCGCGCUGCAUUAGCUAGUUGGUAAGGUAACGGCUUACCAAGGCAACGAUGCAUAGCCGACCUGAGAGGGUGAUCGGCCACACUGGAACUGAGACACGGUCCAGACUCCUACGGGAGGCAGCAGUAGGGAAUCUUCCGCAAUGGGCGAAAGCCUGACGGAGCAACGCCGCGUGAGUGAUGAAGGUCUUCGGAUCGUAAAACUCUGUUAUUAGGGAAGAACAUAUGUGUAAGUAACUGUGCACAUCUUGACGGUACCUAAUCAGAAAGCCACGGCUAACUACGUGCCAGCAGCCGCGGUAAUACGUAGGUGGCAAGCGUUAUCCGGAAUUAUUGGGCGUAAAGCGCGCGUAGGCGGUUUUUUAAGUCUGAUGUGAAAGCCCACGGCUCAACCGUGGAGGGUCAUUGGAAACUGGAAAACUUGAGUGCAGAAGAGGAAAGUGGAAUUCCAUGUGUAGCGGUGAAAUGCGCAGAGAUAUGGAGGAACACCAGUGGCGAAGGCGACUUUCUGGUCUGUAACUGACGCUGAUGUGCGAAAGCGUGGGGAUCAAACAGGAUUAGAUACCCUGGUAGUCCACGCCGUAAACGAUGAGUGCUAAGUGUUAGGGGGUUUCCGCCCCUUAGUGCUGCAGCUAACGCA